CUUGCUCCUUUGACGUUAGCGGCGGACGGGUGAGUAACACGUGGGUAACCUACCUAUAAGACUGGGAUAACUUCGGGAAACCGGAGCUAAUACCGGAUAACAUUUGGAACCGCAUGGUUCUAAAGUGAAAGAUGGUUUUGCUAUCACUUAUAGAUGGACCCGCGCCGUAUUAGCUAGUUGGUAAGGUAACGGCUUACCAAGGCGACGAUACGUAGCCGACCUGAGAGGGUGAUCGGCCACACUGGAACUGAGACACGGUCCAGACUCCUACGGGAGGCAGCAGUAGGGAAUCUUCCGCAAUGGGCGAAAGCCUGACGGAGCAACGCCGCGUGAGUGAUGAAGGGUUUCGGCUCGUAAAACUCUGUUAUUAGGGAAGAACAAAUGUGUAAGUAACUGUGCACAUCUUGACGGUACCUAAUCAGAAAGCCACGGCUAACUACGUGCCAGCAGCCGCGGUAAUACGUAGGUGGCAAGCGUUAUCCGGAAUUAUUGGGCGUAAAGCGCGCGUAGGCGGUUUCUUAAGUCUGAUGUGAAAGCCCACGGCUCAACCGUGGAGGGUCAUUGGAAACUGGGAAACUUGAGUGCAGAAGAGGAAAGUGGAAUUCCAUGUGUAGCGGUGAAAUGCGCAGAGAUAUGGAGGAACACCAGUGGCGAAGGCGACUUUCUGGUCUGUAACUGACGCUGAUGUGCGAAAGCGUGGGGAUCAAACAGGAUUAGAUACCCUGGUAGUCCACGCCGUAAACGAUGAGUGCUAAGUGUUAGGGGGUUUCCGCCCCUUAGUGCUGCAGCUAACGCAUUAAGCACUCCGCCUGGGGAGUACGACCGCAAGGUUGAAACUCAAAGGAAUUGACGGGGACCCGCACAAGCGGUGGAGCAUGUGGUUUAAUUCGAAGCAACGCGAAGAACCUUACCAAAUCUUGACAUCCUUUGAAAACUCUAGAGAUAGAGCCUUCCCCUUCGGGGGACAAAGUGACAGGUGGUGCAUGGUUGUCGUCAGCUCGUGUCGUGAGAUGUUGGGUUAAGUCCCGCAACGAGCGCAACCCUUAAGCUUAGUUGCCAUCAUUAAGUUGGGCACUCUAGGUUGACUGCCGGUGACAAACCGGAGGAAGGUGGGGAUGACGUCAAAUCAUCAUGCCCCUUAUGAUUUGGGCUACACACGUGCUACAAUGGACAAUAC
This 1177-nucleotide ribosomal RNA is filed under the name Staphylococcus saprophyticus. RNAcentral's name for it is "bacterial SSU rRNA". It matches the Rfam family "Bacterial small subunit ribosomal RNA", at positions 79 to 1240 of the family's 1533-position model. The record is from RNAcentral. Lineage: Bacteria; Bacillati; Bacillota; Bacilli; Caryophanales; Staphylococcaceae.